CGGAUUGCAGGCUGCAACCCGCCUGCAUGAAGUUGGAAUUGCUAGUAAUCGCGGAUCAGCAUGCCGCGGUGAAUACGUUCCCUGGCCUUGUACACACCGCCCGUCACAUCAUGGGAGCCGGUAAUACCCGAAGUCAGUAGCCUAACCGCAAGGGGGGCGCUGCCGAAGGUAGGAUUGGCGACUGGGGUGAAGUCGUAACAAGGUAAC
This 207-nucleotide ribosomal RNA is filed under the name uncultured bacterium. RNAcentral's name for it is "partial 16S ribosomal RNA". It matches the Rfam family "Bacterial small subunit ribosomal RNA", at positions 1294 to 1500 of the family's 1533-position model. The record is from RNAcentral.